GAGAAGUGGCCGAGUGGUCGAAGGCGACGCACUCGAAAUGCGUUAGGGAUUCACGUCCCUCGAGGGUUCGAAUCCCUCCUUCUCC
This 85-nucleotide transfer RNA is filed under the name marine eukaryotic metagenome. It matches the Rfam family "tRNA". From Rfam's summary of the family: Transfer RNA (tRNA) molecules are approximately 80 nucleotides in length. The record is from RNAcentral.